AAUUAAAUAUUUCAUUUAAAAAACUAAAUAUUUAGUUUGGAGCUAAAUAUUUAGUUUGCAAAUUAGAUAGUUUGGAAAUGAAUAAAACUUAAAGCCUUUAGACUAAAGACUGUAACACUGUCAGUUUCCAUUCAUUGACUGCAGAUUAAAACUCUGAGAUGUUCAACAGAGAAAACUGACGGGGAGAAAACAGGCCAGAUGUGACCAGCAUCACAAACCUUUAAUACGUGGAAGAGAAACCCAGGAGGAAAAACAUCCCAGGAAAAGACAGGAAAUGUUGGACGUCAGAGUUCAACAUGUCUGACGUGUUGAACAACGAGGAAGUGAUUCAUGGUGACAAUCGUCCUUAAAUUAAACAUAAAGCCGAAGAAAUGAAGCCACUUCUGGUGGAUUUCUCCAGUUUCUUCCUACAGAUGACGACUGACAGCAGAAACAUCUCAUGAAAAUUUCACCUCCGUUCUGCAUCUGGUCAAAUUACUGGAGGUUUGUGGAAACAGGAAACUGUUCUUCUGCUGUGAUUCAGGACAAACGAGGCGUUGGGUUUGGUUUGGUUGUUUCCUUAAAGACAGCGAACAUGGCGUCCCUCAGAGAGACUCUGAUAAACCGACCGCCGCCACGACCCCCACGACCUCCACCGACCGGCAGCAGCGUUCAGGCUGAGCCGCCACAGAACGGCGAUGAGGGAGUUUCAUGUCAGGAGAAAAUGUCGAACAGAACCAACAAAGAAGACGACCUGCAGCUCGCUGUCAACCGGCUGGGCCUCCAGAACCUCAGCAGAACCAGAACCAGAACCAUCACCUGCCCAAAAUAACUAAGUUCGUUUUCCACCAUGUUGCCGUUUGGAUCAUCCUGCAGGAGGAAGUAAUCGGAUUACUGCUGGACUCCAGAUCUGUUCGUUCAGAGGAUUUGUGGCAGAUUUCUUUGUUUUCAAAGGGAAACAAUCCGAUGGAUCUGAAGGCUUUUCUUGUGAAACGGUUUCUGCAGCCAACAGUGAUUCCCAGGUUUUAUCUGCUGCUCUUCCUCUGAGCAGCAGGAGGAAGAGGAGGAGGAGGAAGAGCAGAGCCUCAGGGAAGAUUUAGUUUGUCCUCCACAGAAGACGGGACAUUUGUCUUCUAUAUUUAUUUAUCUUCCUUCUUACAAACAGCCGCAGGCUGCAGCAGCAGCAGAGGUCAUCAGUUAGACUCUGAGCUGCGUCUCUCCGUCCUCCACCAGCAGCACUGCUGCAGCAGCUGCUGCAGUGCUGCUGCUUCCCUCAGGCUGAUGCUGCUCCUACCGACCGGCAGCAGGACGGAUGGAGGAGGGAGGAUCUGGAAAAGCAGCUAAACAGGAAAAACUGAGAACUUUUCCACUAAAACAAACUAACUGGAACUUUAUCACGAUUUUUUAAAAUUAAAACUGAAAUUGAACAUAA
Long non-coding RNA from Gambusia affinis (western mosquitofish), 1411 nucleotides. RefSeq lists it as uncharacterized. The transcript is spliced from 3 exons. The record is from RefSeq and is a predicted model, not a curated record. Lineage: Eukaryota; Metazoa; Chordata; Actinopteri; Cyprinodontiformes; Poeciliidae.